GGGCCCGCACAAGCGGUGGAGUAUGUGGUUUAAUUCGAUGCAACGCGAAGAACCUUACCAGGGUUUGACAUCCUGCGAAUCUCUUGGAAACAGGAGAGUGCCUUUGGGAACGCAGUGACAGGUGGUGCAUGGCUGUCGUCAGCUCGUGUCGUGAGAUGUUGGGUUAAGUCCCGCAACGAGCGCAACCCACGUCUUUAGUUGCCAGCAUUUAGUUGGGCACUCUAGAGAGACUGCCGGUGAUAAACCGGAGGAAGGUGUGGAUGACGUCAAGUCAUCAUGCCCCUUACAUCCCUGGGCUACACAUGUACUACAAUGCUACGGACAAAGGGCAGCAAGUCGCGAGGACAAGCAAAUCCCAUAAACCGUGGCUCAGUUCAGAUCGUAGGCUGCAACUCGCCUACGUGAAGGCGGAAUCGCUAGUAAUCG
RNAcentral lists this ribosomal RNA (426 nucleotides) under uncultured bacterium. RNAcentral's name for it is "bacterial SSU rRNA". It matches the Rfam family "Bacterial small subunit ribosomal RNA", at positions 917 to 1344 of the family's 1533-position model. The record is from RNAcentral.